Molecule: long non-coding RNA, 1398 nt
Filed under: Mus musculus (house mouse)
Lineage: Eukaryota; Metazoa; Chordata; Mammalia; Rodentia; Muridae
Description: long non-coding RNA chr4:16164111-16165509
Source: RNAcentral
AAGCCGGGUGGACAUCGCUGAGGCUUGGAAAAGAUUUCCUCCGGGGAAAAUCCCUCCGGAGUUCUCCAGUCUGGUGUCAGGUGGGUCGGCUGGAUUUUCCUUUGGCCCGAGUGUCUUCCUUAGACUCCAAACCCUGGACGUGAUAGGGUGUGGGGUGACUACUGCUGGGGAGCCUGGUGCCCCACUUCCUGAGCUGUAAACCAUCUGGUUGCUUCCACUCCAGUCUUUACUCAGUGGCUGCCACUUGUGAGAAGUGAGGUAGAGAGGCUAGCGCUGUCAGUGUGACAAAUUGAGGUGUUUAGCUUAUAUGACUUGCUCCCUUACCAGGAAACGGUUUCUUCUUUUAUUCCUCAAAGCCUACUCACAAAUAGAAAUAUAAAACCAUUUCUUGUGUUUGGGAAGUCUUCCAUCCAAAAAGAAAAACAAAGGCAAAAACAAACAAAACCAAACAACCAAAAUCCAGCACUAUUUCAUCUUUUUACUGUAAACACCUUUCUACUUAGAUAACUGUUCAGUACGAUGUUUGGCGCAAAUAUCUCAUAUUUGUGAGCGAUAUAGUUCCACGAUCCUACACGCACCAGGAUACUACAAUCUGUAAUUGUCCCUUAUAUUAUUAGUGUAAUAUAUAUAACACCGACAUUUCCUUCCCUAUACUCUAGUUCUUAAUAGUUUUUUACAAGUCUACAUUCUAAGAUUAUGUUUUCUUGGGCUGGAGUCAUGGGUAAGCCGUUAAGAGGGCUUGUUCUUCCAGAGGAUCUGAGGUUUGUUAUCAGUACUCGAAUCUAGUAGCUCACAGCUGCCUGCUCUCCAGCUCCAGGGAAUCUGACCAACACUUCUGGCUUCUGCAGGCAACACACAUACACAUAAACAAAAUACAAAAAUAUAAAAAUAUGUACUUACAAUAUAAUGUGUAUAUAUCUCAACUAAGAAUAUAUAUACGUAUACAUGCUGUAUGUAUGUAUGUAUAUAUACACACAUAUAGGGAUUUUGUAAGUAUAUACAUUUAAUUUUCAUAAUCAAUUAAUGAUAGAAAUCUUAAGACAUUAACAUUGAAGUAAAUGUACUGGAGAAAAACUUAGACAAAAUAGACAAAUUAGCCUCAAAAAUAAACAUCACAUCUAUACUUUGAAUUCAUUUAUUCAAAGUCCUACAAAAUUAUACCUGAAUGUUAUUAAGAAUAAAGUUUAUUUAUGCCUUAUUACAUUAGUCUAGGAAAUAGCAGCUUUAAGACAUUCAUAUCUCAUUUAGAAAUAAGAUACACACUUUUGCAAAAGAAGGCACUUUUUCAAAACCAGCACAGUUCCAAGUCAAGUGCAGUGGUAUUGGUACCCGCUUAUGUUACCAUCCAGGGUCAUGGACUGAGUUCAGUUUUUCCCAACAAUUAAAGAAUUAAAAGAC